Molecule: ribosomal RNA, 572 nt
Filed under: Alternaria sp. ZG-1-2-3
Lineage: Eukaryota; Fungi; Ascomycota; Dothideomycetes; Pleosporales; Pleosporaceae
Description: eukaryotic LSU rRNA
Rfam family: 5.8S ribosomal RNA (bases 196-349)
Source: RNAcentral
UCCGUAGGGGAACCUGCGGAGGGAUCAUUACACAAAUAUGAAGGCGGGCUGGAACCUCUCGGGGUUACAGCCUUGCUGAAUUAUUCACCCUUGUCUUUUGCGUACUUCUUGUUUCCUUGGUGGGUUCGCCCACCACUAGGACAAACAUAAACCUUUUGUAAUUGCAAUCAGCGUCAGUAACAAAUUAAUAAUUACAACUUUCAACAACGGAUCUCUUGGUUCUGGCAUCGAUGAAGAACGCAGCGAAAUGCGAUAAGUAGUGUGAAUUGCAGAAUUCAGUGAAUCAUCGAAUCUUUGAACGCACAUUGCGCCCUUUGGUAUUCCAAAGGGCAUGCCUGUUCGAGCGUCAUUUGUACCCUCAAGCUUUGCUUGGUGUUGGGCGUCUUGUCUCUAGCUUUGCUGGAGACUCGCCUUAAAGUAAUUGGCAGCCGGCCUACUGGUUUCGGAGCGCAGCACAAGUCGCACUCUCUAUCAGCAAAGGUCUAGCAUCCAUUAAGCCUUUUUUUCAACUUUUGACCUCGGAUCAGGUAGGGAUACCCGCUGAACUUAAGCAUAUCAAUAAGACGGAGGAA